GAGGGGCACAAGGGUGGAAGUGCGGGUAUUGGGACAGGGCCAUGGUCUACUCGUCGUGUCGCGACUCUCCUCUAAUCUAGUACACUGCACAUUACAAAUAAAGCUAUUACGUAAAAAAAAAAAAAAAAAAGGUUUCAGCUGACAGUCAGGAGGAACCAGUCUGUGGGAUAUACAGAUCAGUGGAAUUAACGGAUCUGCGAAUAUGGCACAAAAACAACUCAGCAAAGAAGAGACCCUGACAAUGAGAAAGAAGCUGAUUGGACAGUCGUGUAGACUGUUUUAUUCAGACGAGCCUGUGAAAAUAGUUAGAGCUAGAGGACAAUACCUGUUCGACGAUCAGGACGUGUGUUAUUUGGACUGCAUUAGUAACGUACAGCACGUGGGCCACUGUCACCCCAAGGUCACAAAGGCUGCUGCAGCACAGAUGGACAUCCUGAACACAAACAGCAGAUUCCUGCAUGAUAACAUUGUCCUGUAUGCAGAACGCCUGGCUGCCACCCUGCCGGAGAAGCUGUGUGUCUUUUACUUUGUUAACUCGGGUUCAGAGGCUAAUGAUCUUGCACUACGUUUGGCCCAGCAGUACACCCAACAUGAAGACGUCAUAGUGCUUGACCAUGCAUAUCAUGGGCACCUUAAGUCCCUCAUCGACAUUAGUCCAUACAAGUUCCGAAAACUCGCAGGACAAAAAGAAUGGGUUCAUGUGGCACCCUUACCGGAUACCUACAGAGGCAUAUACAAAGACAAUCACCCCAAUCCAGGCCAGGCAUAUGCCGAUGCUGUAAAGGACAUAAUAACAGAGGUGCACAGAAAGGGGCGAAAGAUCUCUGCAUUCUUUGCAGAGUCGUUGCCAGGUGUUGGAGGACAAAUCGUUUUGCCCAAAGGAUACUCAUCCAAAGUUGCAGAAUAUGUUCAUUCUGCUGGUGGAGUGUUUGUGGCAGAUGAAGUGCAAACAGGAUUUGGACGUGUGGGAAGUCACUUCUGGGCUUUCCAGCUUCAGGGGGAAGAUUUUUGUCCUGACAUUGUGACCAUGGGCAAACCAAUGGGUAAUGGGCAUCCUCUGGCAUGUGUGGCAACCACAGAAGAGAUAGCUGGAGCUUUCACAGCCAAUGGAGUGGAGUACUUCAAUACGUUUGGAGGGAAUCCGGUGUCCUGUGCAGUAGGGCUGGCAGUCCUUGAUGUGAUUGAGGAAGAGGACUUGAGAGGAAAUGCCAUUAGGGUGGGAUCACACCUCAAAGAUUUAUUCAAAAGCCUACAAACACGCCAUCAAAUCAUUGGCGAUGUUCGCCUAAAGAUGUUUGUACGUGAAGAUCUUAGUAGCAGAUUCUGAAAUGACCAAACAAGCCUAGCUGGUGCCAUCGGCUAUGACAUUCAAAAUCAUGAAAGUCACCUUUCGUCCAGUUUUGGGGAGAGAGAGGAGUUGGGCUGUUUUUGGGUGUGGAGCUGGUUACAGACAGACAGCAGAGGACUCCUGCCACACAAAUGGCCGCAGAGGUGGUAAAAAGACUGAAAGAAGAGCGAAUCUGUGUCAGUACAGAUGGCCCCUAUGACAGCGUAUUGAAGUUCAAACCUCCCAUGUGCUUCACUGUGGACAAUGCAGAGCUGGUGGUACGUUGUAUCGAUCGCAUCUUCACAGAUAUAGAAGCCAAAAGCCUAGAAGUGGAAAAAGGAGACAUUUAAGGUCUGUCAAGCCUGUAAAAAAAUGUUUUAAUUGCAUUUGACAAACGGUCAUUCAUAUUCAGAGGUAGAUGGUAAAUGUCCUUAAAAACUUCAUUUUGGAGAACAUGCCAUUUCUUUCCAUUUAAUGACCACUGGGUGGGGCUGGAUAUACAUAUUUCACCUUAGCACUGAAAGGUUAUAAUACAUUUGCACUUUUAAAAUUCCACCACAAAACACUAGAGCAAACAUUUGAGUUUGUUUCUGCUAUUUUUGUGUGAGUACACACUGGUACCAUGCUUCACCCCAUCCACCACACCAGUGAACUGCCUUGAGUCCUAAAUGGCAAUCACCCUGGCAUACCUUCAGCCCAUCCAGACGUCUCAAAAAUUUGACAGAACCAGGUGAAACACUGGCAUUCCAUUGGCUUUCUCUAACCACUGACGUUCUGGGUCAUGCACAGAACACACCACAUUGCUGCUGUUCCCUCACAAUGCAAGAGACUACUCAAGCAAGAUACUCUCCUAGUCUCCCAAAGUAACCACUUGCUCCUUCAUUCCAGCGGUACCCAAGGAUCCAAUGAAGAGACCUUGGACCAAAGAUGUCCAGUCAUCACCUCAUCACUGGUUAUCAAAGUGUCACAACCAUGUAGGACAGAAAACACCAGGACCUUCCAGCAAAAACCUGUCCAAUCACCUCCCCAUUGAACAAGCUUGUCCCAUAUGUCUCCUGCUCUCAAGGCUGAAGAGUCACAGCCCAAAUAAGUGAAUGAAGUUUCUCAGACGAUGCAAUCAAGUUAUCUGUUGGUUCCAGAGAUGACAGAGUCAUCUGUGAAGUAAAGGUCAGCAAAUCAUUCCCUGCCAGACAGAGGCACCCAAGAUACCAGUUUGUACAGACAUACCGAGUAUAACCAGACAUCUCUGAUGUCUUUUUACUGGUUGGGAAUUUUUACUUUAUUCCUUGUUAAAGAAAUUGCCACAACCUUUGGCAACUUUUGUAAGUGGAAUGUAGCGGCCUUCUCUUGAAAGAGCUGCUGUGCACUGAAAAAUUUGAAUAGGGCAUGAAGCAGGGUACACCCUGGACAGGACACCAGUCUGUCACAGGGCCUAUUUAUGUGCAACUUCAUUCAAUUCUUUAAACAGGUUGAAGAGCCAAUUUACUUAGUAGUUGGUUCAGCAAAUUAAUGCUUGA
Thalassophryne amazonica is the source of this 2844-nucleotide RNA transcript. It is a transcript of the gene named 5-phosphohydroxy-L-lysine phospho-lyase, with no coding region annotated. The record is from RefSeq and is a predicted model, not a curated record. The transcript has 13 exons. Lineage: Eukaryota; Metazoa; Chordata; Actinopteri; Batrachoidiformes; Batrachoididae.